This 481-nucleotide ribosomal RNA is filed under the name Paracoccus sp. (in: a-proteobacteria). RNAcentral's name for it is "bacterial SSU rRNA". It matches the Rfam family "Bacterial small subunit ribosomal RNA", at positions 194 to 695 of the family's 1533-position model. The record is from RNAcentral. Lineage: Bacteria; Pseudomonadati; Pseudomonadota; Alphaproteobacteria; Rhodobacterales; Paracoccaceae.
CUUUGGGGGAAAGAUUUAUCGGAGAAGGAUCGGCCCGCGUUGGAUUAGGUAGUUGGUGGGGUAAUGGCCCACCAAGCCGACGAUCCAUAGCUGGUUUGAGAGGAUGAUCAGCCACACUGGGACUGAGACACGGCCCAGACUCCUACGGGAGGCAGCAGUGGGGAAUCUUAGACAAUGGGGGCAACCCUGAUCUAGCCAUGCCGCGUGAGUGAUGAAGGCCUUAGGGUUGUAAAGCUCUUUCAGCUGGGAAGAUAAUGACGGUACCAGCAGAAGAAGCCCCGGCUAACUCCGUGCCAGCAGCCGCGGUAAUACGGAGGGGGCUAGCGUUGUUCGGAAUUACUGGGCGUAAAGCGCACGUAGGCGGACCAGAAAGUUGGGGGUGAAAUCCCGGGGCUCAACCUCGGAACUGCCUUCAAAACUAUUGGUCUGGAGUUCGAGAGAGGUGAGUGGAAUUCCGAGUGUAGCGGUGAAAUGCGUAGAA